RNAcentral lists this ribosomal RNA (292 nucleotides) under uncultured bacterium. RNAcentral's name for it is "partial 16S ribosomal RNA". It matches the Rfam family "Bacterial small subunit ribosomal RNA", at positions 505 to 796 of the family's 1533-position model. The record is from RNAcentral.
GUGUCAGCAGCCGCGGUAAUACGUAGGGGGCAAGCGUUGUUCGGAAUUACUGGGCGUAAAGGGCGCGUAGGCGGCACAGCAAGUCGGGAGUGAAAGCCCGGGGCUCAACCCCGGAAUGGCUUUCGAAACUGCUGAGCUAGAGUACAGAAGGGGCAACCGGAAUUCCCAGUGUAGCGGUGAAAUGCGUAGAUAUUGGGAAGAACACCUGAGGCGAAGGCGGGUUGCUGGGCUGAUACUGACGCUGAGGCGCGAAAGCCAGGGGAGCAAACGGGAUUAGAUACCCCCGUAGUCC